Acanthosepion pharaonis is the source of this 112-nucleotide non-coding RNA. Lineage: Eukaryota; Metazoa; Mollusca; Cephalopoda; Sepiida; Sepiidae. The record is from the annotation of a GenBank genome assembly.
UGCUGCCAUAUUAUGUUGAAACACCGAUUCCCCUACAAUUACGGAAGUUAAGCAACGUCGGGCCUAAUCAGUACCGAGAUGGUUUACCGCUUGGGAACACCAAGUGUUGUAA